AGGGUUCGAUUAUGGCUCAGGAUGAACGCUAGCGGCAGGCCUAACACAUGCAAGUCGAGGGGUAGCAUAAAGUGCUUGCACUUUGAUGACGACCGGCGCACGGGUGAGUAACGCGUAUACAAUCUGCCUCAUACUAGGGGAUAGCCCAGAGAAAUUUGGAUUAAUACCCUAUAGUAUCAUUUAGAGUCAUCUCUUUAUGAUUAAAGGUUACGGUAUGAGAUGAGUAUGCGUUCUAUUAGUUAGUAGGUGAGGUAACGGCUCACCUAGACCACGAUAGAUAGGGGCCCUGAGAGGGGGAUCCCCCACACUGGUACUGAGACACGGACCAGACUCCUACGGGAGGCAGCAGUGAGGAAUAUUAGACAAUGGGCGAAAGCCUGAUCUAGCCAUGCCGCGUGCAGGAUGACGGCCCUAUGGGUUGUAAACUGCUUUUAUACAGGAAGAAAAAACUCUACGUGUAGAGUCUUGACGGUACUGUAAGAAUAAGGAUCGGCUAACUCCGUGCCAGCCGCCGCGGUAAUAC
This 523-nucleotide ribosomal RNA is filed under the name uncultured bacterium. RNAcentral's name for it is "bacterial SSU rRNA". It matches the Rfam family "Bacterial small subunit ribosomal RNA", at positions 8 to 526 of the family's 1533-position model. The record is from RNAcentral.